This 465-nucleotide ribosomal RNA is filed under the name uncultured bacterium. RNAcentral describes it as "SSU rRNA". It matches the Rfam family "Bacterial small subunit ribosomal RNA", at positions 26 to 518 of the family's 1533-position model. The record is from RNAcentral.
AGGAUUAACGCUGGCGGCGUGCCUGACACAUGCAAGUCGAACGAGGCCGCAAGGCCGAGUGGCGGACGGGUGAGUAACACGUGACCAACCAACCUCGAAGUUGGGAAUAGCUCUGCGAAAGUAGGGGUAAUACCGAAUGUGGCCCAGGGCGGGCAUCCGCCUUGGUCUAAAGAUUCAUCGCUUCGAGACGGGGUCGCGGCCUAUUAGCUUGUUGGUGAGGUAACGGCUCACCAAGGCGAUGAUGGGUAGCUGGUCUGAGAGGACGACCAGCCACACUGGGACUGAGACACGGCCCAGACUCCUACGGGAGGCAGCAGUGAGGAAUCUUCCGCAAUGGGCGAAAGCCUGACGGAGCAACGCCGCGUGUGGGAUGAAGACUCUAGGGUUGUAAACCACUGUCGGAGGGGACGAUCGUGACGGUACCCUCCGAAGAAACGCCCCGGCUAACUACGUGCCAGCAGCCGC